ACGGGAGGCAGCAGUGGGGAAUAUUGGUCAAUGGACGGAAGUCUGAACCAGCCAAGUCGCGUGAAGGAUGAAGGUAUUAUGUAUUGUAAACUUCUUUAGUCGCAGAGAAAUAAGGAUCUCGUGAGGUCUGAUGCUAGUAUGCGAAGAAUAAGGAUCGGCUAACUCCGUGCCAGCAGCCGCGGUAAUACGGAGGAUCCGAGCGUUAUCCGGAUUUAUUGGGUUUAAAGGGUGCGCAGGCGGUCUUUUAAGUAAGUGGUCAAAUCGCGGAGCUAAAUUCCGUCCCGCCAUUGAUACUGGGAGACUUGAUUGCGGUCGAGGUUGGCGGAAUUCGUCGUGUAGCGGUGAAAUGCAUAGAGAUGACGAAGAACACCGAUUGCGUAGGCAGCUGACCAGGCCGUAAAUGACGCUCAUGCACGAAAGUGCGGGGAUCGAACAGGAUUAGAUACCCUGGUA
This 453-nucleotide ribosomal RNA is filed under the name uncultured Porphyromonadaceae bacterium. RNAcentral describes it as "partial 16S ribosomal RNA". It matches the Rfam family "Bacterial small subunit ribosomal RNA", at positions 341 to 792 of the family's 1533-position model. Lineage: Bacteria; Pseudomonadati; Bacteroidota; Bacteroidia; Bacteroidales; Porphyromonadaceae. The record is from RNAcentral.